This 431-nucleotide ribosomal RNA is filed under the name uncultured bacterium. RNAcentral describes it as "bacterial SSU rRNA". It matches the Rfam family "Bacterial small subunit ribosomal RNA", at positions 343 to 791 of the family's 1533-position model. The record is from RNAcentral.
CGGAGGCAGCAGUGGGGAAUCUUGCACAAUGGAGGCAACUCUGAUGCAGCGACGCCGCGUGAGCGAUGAAGCCCUUCGGGGUGUAAAGCUCUUUCGACGGGAACGAUAAUGACGGUACCCGGAGAAGAAGCUGCGGCUAACUACGUGCCAGCAGCCGCGGUAAUACGUAGGCAGCAAGCGUUGUUCGGAAUUACUGGGCGUAAAGAGUGUGUAGGCGGUGCUCUAAGUUCGUUGUGAAAUCUCCCGGCUUAACUGGGAGGGUGCGGCGGAAACUGGAGUGCUCGAGCGCGGGAGAGGAAAGCGGAAUUCCUGGUGUAGCGGUGAAAUGCGUAGAUAUCAGGAGGAACACCUGUGGUGUAGACAGCUUUCUGGACCGUAGCUGACGCUGAGACACGAAAGCGUGGGUAGCAAACAGGAUUAGAUACCCCGGU